This 253-nucleotide ribosomal RNA is filed under the name uncultured bacterium. Its description in RNAcentral is "partial 16S ribosomal RNA". It matches the Rfam family "Bacterial small subunit ribosomal RNA", at positions 524 to 776 of the family's 1533-position model. The record is from RNAcentral.
UACGAAGGGGGCUAGCGUUGCUCGGAAUCACUGGGCGUAAAGGGUGCGUAGGCGGGUCUUUAAGUCAGGGGUGAAAUCCUGGAGCUCAACUCCAGAACUGCCUUUGAUACUGAGGAUCUUGAGUACGGGAGAGGUGAGUGGAACUGCGAGUGUAGAGGUGAAAUUCGUAGAUAUUCGCAAGAACACCAGUGGCGAAGGCGGCUGUCUGGUCCGGUUCUGACGCUGAGGCGCGAAAGCGUGGGGAGCAAACAGG